AGAACGAACGCUGGCGGCAGGCCUCAAACAUGCAAGUCUAGGGGGUGUAGCAAUACAUCACCGGCGGACGGGUGCGUAACACGUGGGAAUAUACCUUUUGGUUCGGAACAACGCAGGGAAACUUGCGCUAAUACCGAAUGUGCCCUUACGGGGAAAGAUUUAUCGCCAAAGGAUUAGCCCGCGUAGGAUUAGCUAGUUGGUGAGGUAAUGGCUCACCAAGGCUCCGAUCCUUAGCUGUUCUGAGAGGAAGAUCAGCCACACUGGGACUGAGACACGGCCCAGACUCCUACGGGAGGCAGCAGUUGGGAAUCUUGGACAAUGGGGGAAACCCUGAUCCAGCCAUGCCGCGUGAGUGAUGAAGGCCUUCGGGUUGUAAAACUCUUUCGACGGGGACGAUAAUGACGGUACCGUAGAAGAAGCUCCGGCUAACUUCGUGCCAGCAGCCGC
RNAcentral lists this ribosomal RNA (447 nucleotides) under uncultured bacterium. RNAcentral describes it as "SSU rRNA". It matches the Rfam family "Bacterial small subunit ribosomal RNA", at positions 26 to 518 of the family's 1533-position model. The record is from RNAcentral.